AACGAACGCUGGCGGCAUGCCUAACACAUGCAAGUCGAACGAGACCUUCGGGUCUAGUUGCGCACGGGUGCGUAACGCGUGGGAACCUGCCCUUAGGUUCGGAAUAACUCCCCGAAAGGGGUGCUAAUACCGGAUAAUGUCUUCGGUCCAUAGAUUUAUCGCCUUUGGAUGGGCCCGCGUUGGAUUAGCUAGUUGGUAGGGUAAAAGCCUACCAAGGCGACGAUCCAUAGCUGGUAUGAGAGGAUGAUCAGCCACACUGGGACUGAGACACGGACCAGACUACUACGGGAGGAAGCAGUGGGGAAUAUUGGAAAAUGGGAGAAAGCCUGAUCAAGCAAUGACGCGUGAGUGAUGAAGGGAUUAGGGUUGUAAAGCUCUUUUACCCGGGAUGAUAAUGACAGUACCGGGAGAAUAAGCUCCGGCUAACUCCGUG
This 433-nucleotide ribosomal RNA is filed under the name uncultured bacterium. RNAcentral describes it as "partial 16S ribosomal RNA". It matches the Rfam family "Bacterial small subunit ribosomal RNA", at positions 29 to 507 of the family's 1533-position model. The record is from RNAcentral.